UGCUGCUUGACGGGGUGCCGGUGGAACCGGCUGAGAUCACCUUGUGUCGCCUGGCGAUACCACGGUGGAUCCCGAUGAACCUGAUCCGGCUAAUACCGGCGUAGGGAUCAAGCGAAGGGUCCAC
RNAcentral lists this non-coding RNA (124 nucleotides) under Kushneria marisflavi. RNAcentral's name for it is "TPP sequence". It matches the Rfam family "TPP riboswitch aptamer (THI element)". Rfam says of the family: Vitamin B(1) in its active form thiamin pyrophosphate (TPP) is an essential coenzyme that is synthesised by coupling of pyrimidine and thiazole moieties in bacteria. The previously detected thiamin-regulatory element, thi box was extended, resulting in a new, highly conserved RNA secondary structure, the THI element, which is widely distributed in eubacteria and also occurs in some archaea. Analysis of operon structures identified a large number of new candidate thiamin-regulated genes, mostly transporters, in various prokaryotic organisms. Lineage: Bacteria; Pseudomonadati; Pseudomonadota; Gammaproteobacteria; Oceanospirillales; Halomonadaceae. The record is from Rfam by way of RNAcentral.